CGUCGUCCUGAGCGGGUCGCCGUGCAGCCGUUCUGAUGCCUCGUUAGCCGCAUUGCCAGGGCGUGCCCUUGAACCUGGCAGGUCGCUGAGAGCUGAGGCGAAACUGUGAAUAAAUAGAAAGUCAAGAACUUUUCUCUCCUCGAUUUAUGAAGAACCUCAAAGAAAGGCCUCGGAGUAAAUUACUGUAAAGCCCCGAGGGCACUCUCAGCCCUUUGACCCUGAACCCAGCGCUGACAGUUACUAACUCGUGUUCCUGUUUCGGUCUGCUAAGUGUCUGGCCGGAGACAUUCCACCCGUGGCAGGCCGGUUAGUGUGCACACACAGCCGCCAACGGGCCAUAGCAGCAGCGCAGGUGACUCGCAGGUGGGCUGUGUGUGUGCUCCUCACCACAGCCCCGAGGGUGAGUCUUGCAGGUGACCAGCUCAGGGAAACCAAAGAUGCCGUUAAACGUGAAAACGUGGACUGUCAGUUGUUGCCCAGUAAGGCCAACCUUUAAAGUAGCUUAUUUUUGUAAACGUGCAGGGGAGGAGAUGUUAUCAGCGCCUGGGCGGAGUGUGCCUUGCCUCUUGGUACACACGUG
This is a long non-coding RNA of Phyllostomus discolor (pale spear-nosed bat), 580 nucleotides long. RefSeq lists it as uncharacterized. NCBI's taxonomy places the organism in Eukaryota, Metazoa, Chordata, Mammalia, Chiroptera, Phyllostomidae. The transcript is spliced from 2 exons. The record is from RefSeq and is a predicted model, not a curated record.